AUGCGGCAGCUGUCGUCGCUGCUGCAGGGGCUGGCCCGAUCCAUGGCUGGAAAAGAGAGGAAGGAGGAUGAUCCGCAGGGGACGGUGCUGCGGUCGUCGGGGACGCUGCGGGGCGAGGGCUCCGAGACCUUGGCCGCCGUGUGGUCUCGCCGCGGCGAGAAGGGCACCAACCAGGACUGCUCCCUCGUCUGGGAGGGAUUCGGAUGCCAGGAUGACACCAUCUUCUGCGGCAUCUUCGACGGCCACGGCCAGUGGGGCCACUACGUCUCCAAGGCCGUCCGGGACUCGCUGCCGCCGUCGCUGCUGCGCCACUGGCAGGAGGCCGUCGCGCUGGCGUCGCUCAUCGACGGCGAGAAGAAGCUCGGCGACUGCCAGUUCGACCUCUGGAGGCAGUCCUACCUGGCCGCCGCCGCCGCCGUCGAUGAAGAGCUCCGCCGCAGCCGCCGUCUCGACGCGGUCAACAGUGGCUCCACGGCGUUGUCGAUCGUCAAGAAGGGUGACACGAUGGUUAUCGCGAACGUGGGGGACUCACGAGCCGUCCUUGGCACCACGUCGGACGACGGCAGCAUCGCCGCCGUUCAGCUCACCGUCGACUUCAAACCAAACCUGCCUCAGGAGAAGGCGCGCAUCGUGCAGUGCAAGGGCCGCGUGCACUGCCACGACGACGAGCCCGGCGUGCAUCGGGUGUGGCUGCCCGACAGGGAGGCGCCGGGGCUGGCCAUGUCACGCGCGUUCGGCGACUACUGCGUCAAGGACUACGGCGUGAUCUCGGCGCCGGAGGUGACGCAGAGGAGGAUCACCUCCCGGGACCAGUUCGUCAUCUUGGCCACCGACGGGGUUUGGGACGUGGUCUCCAACGAAGAGGCGGUGCAGAUCGUGGCUGACACGCCGGAGAGGGAGAAGGCGGCGAAGCGGCUCGUCCAGUGCGCCGUCCGCGCCUGGAGGCGCAAGCGGCGGGGCUACGCCGUCGAUGAUUGCUCGGCGAUCUGCCUCUUCCUCCACCCGCCGCCAUCGUAG
RNAcentral lists this ribosomal RNA (1017 nucleotides) under Triticum aestivum (bread wheat). Its description in RNAcentral is "partial small subunit ribosomal RNA". Lineage: Eukaryota; Viridiplantae; Streptophyta; Magnoliopsida; Poales; Poaceae. The record is from RNAcentral.